GAGUAAGAGAGCCAGGCGCCCAAGGGGCAAUUGAGGCCGGAUUUGGUCCCCUGACUGGCGCCUGUGGAGCUGAGGGCGCUGCGGGCGGGAUCGCGGGGUAGGGCCGGCGCCAGGCCUUCAAGUCAAACCACUGACGGGUGCCGUUAAGACCCGCGCUCGAGCGCCCACCCCAAAUCUCGAGACGUGCGGGUCGCGGGCGGCCGGCCCUGGCCCGAGAGCUCGCUCUUGUUCCCGCGGGAUCUCAAGCUGGCGUGAGGCCGAGCCGGCCUGGGCCGGGCAUCCCCUGGCACAGCCUGCGGGCCUGUCCGGGAAGCUGUUGCGACACUCGGGCGGUGGCCUGUUAGACUCGGGUCGAGUCUGGAGUGUUGGCUUUCCAAGCCGUGGGCUAGCUAACUCCUGAGGACCCGGAGCUCCUCAGGCCCCAGCGCCCCGCGCUGGGCUUGCACCUGAAGUCGCCCAGUACACCCCGCAGUUGUUGAAUGAAUGAGUUCUUCGGGGGCCCGCGGUCGCUGGGCCCUGCGCCAGACUGAGAGCUGGGGGCGGGGAAGGGAGAUGUCGAAAUGGGGCAGGAUGAUUCAGAGAUGACGACAGGUGGAGAAGCCAGACUGGAGGCAGCUGCCCAAGCACAGCAGGAAAAGUAUAUGGGGAAGUUCGGACGUACAGCUUGUCGCUGAGUGACGCAAUGAUGAACCUACCGCCUGGUGAUAACUGCCUUUUGUGAUAAGACCCCUCUCCCUCCUGGACAGGGACAUUGUAGGAUUGUUCUUCCCACCUCCUUGAAGAUAGGCAUGGCUGUGAGAUUUGCUUUGACCAAUGAAAUGUGAGAGAAGCAUGAGAGCCACACAUUAACUUCCCCUGCCACAUGACUGGUGAUGUUCAGAUGGUGGGAGCACCAUCAGUCUGGGGCCCUGGUAAGGAUGAUGAAGCAGAGUUGCCUACUUGCCACACCUUUCUUCCCAGGUGGACUUUCAGCAUGAGUAAGAAAUAAAUCGAUGUUGUUUUCAGACACAGAUUUUAGGAUUAGUCCAUAUCAUAGCAUAAUCUAG
This 1046-nucleotide long non-coding RNA is filed under the name Equus asinus (donkey). RNAcentral describes it as "lncRNA (ENSEASG00005036769.1)". The record is from RNAcentral. Lineage: Eukaryota; Metazoa; Chordata; Mammalia; Perissodactyla; Equidae.